GGCUGAGACUCUAUCUAAUCUGUCAGAAGAAGAGCAGGAGUGUGGUUGUGAAGUUUAACGUUGGUAGUCCCUAGAGAAGACGUUGGUAAUUUUAUGGCUCAGAUUAGAACCCAAAUUGAAACGAACUUUCCAAGUU
Molecule: long non-coding RNA, 136 nt
Organism: Etheostoma spectabile (orangethroat darter)
Lineage: Eukaryota; Metazoa; Chordata; Actinopteri; Perciformes; Percidae
Exons: 3
Source: RefSeq, a predicted model, not a curated record